This 472-nucleotide ribosomal RNA is filed under the name uncultured bacterium. Its description in RNAcentral is "bacterial SSU rRNA". It matches the Rfam family "Bacterial small subunit ribosomal RNA", at positions 29 to 521 of the family's 1533-position model. The record is from RNAcentral.
AACGAACGCUGGCGGCAUGCCUAACACAUGCAAGUCGAACGAGACCUUCGGGUCUAGUGGCGCACGGGUGCGUAACGCGUGGGAACCUGCCUUUAGGUUCGGAAUAACUCAGAGAAAUUUGAGCUAAUACCGGAUAAUGUCUUCGGACCAAAGAUUUAUCGCCUUUAGAUGGGCCCGCGUUGGAUUAGCUAGUUGGUGGGUAAAGGCCUACCAAGGCGACGAUCCAUAGCUGGUCUGAGAGGAUGAUCAGCCACACUGGGACUGAGACACGGCCCAGACUCCUACGGGAGGCAGCAGUGGGAAUAUUGGACAAUGGGCGAAAGCCUGAUCCAGCAAUGCCGCGUGAGUGAUGAAGGCCUUAGGGUUGUAAACUGCUUUUGUACGGAACGAAACGGUCCGCUUUAAUACAGUGGGCUAAUGACGGUACCGUAAGAAUAAGACACCGGCGUAACUACGUGCCAGCAGCCGCGGU